UACCGCAGCCAUAUCACCCUGCUGCCUAAGAGCGGUUACUCACUGAAGCUAAGCAGGGCUGAGGCUGGUCAGUGUCUGAAUGAGAGACAAAAAGAGGAAAGCUAGGUUGCUGUUGGAA
RNAcentral lists this ribosomal RNA (118 nucleotides) under Danio rerio (zebrafish). Lineage: Eukaryota; Metazoa; Chordata; Actinopteri; Cypriniformes; Danionidae. The record is from RNAcentral.